This is a long non-coding RNA of Etheostoma cragini (Arkansas darter), 1020 nucleotides long. RefSeq lists it as uncharacterized. The transcript is spliced from 5 exons. The record is from RefSeq and is a predicted model, not a curated record. Lineage: Eukaryota; Metazoa; Chordata; Actinopteri; Perciformes; Percidae.
CCUCCUCUGCUAGCUGGAACUUUCUAGAAGCAUCCAUACCCCGGACAGAGGAAAGACUGGUGUAAAAAGUGGGGAAAAGGAGUUGUUGGAACAGCUUGCCACCAGCCAUCAGCCACGCCAGGCUUACGCAGGGGGCAGCCCUCAGUGUCAGGGAUCCUGAGGUGGCAGAGGCCGACCCUGUGGGAGAGAUGGAUAACCAGAACCUGGCCUGGACUACUUACAGUCGACCAACCCAGAAGUGGCAAGAGCACGGAAGGAUUCCCCCAGCGUCCCAGGUGCCAGAGUGGGUGUUCAGUGAAGGGUGAGGACCAUCUGCCGGGGCUGGGUGAAAUCAGUACAACAUGCAGGUGCUGGGGUAUUUACCCCAGCACGUAAGAUUACUAGCAGUCCUCCAGCCUCGGCCCCCGUCCUGAUGAUGUAAUUAUUUCCCAGUGGCACCUGGGAGCAACGGCCGCCAUUCGGAGGCAUCGCUCACAGCCAAUGAGGUGCUUCGUUGCUGUGACACCCAUGGCCUUCUGGAGCCCAGACACCCCCUGUGGAGACCAGAGAGACGUGUCACCUUGAUCACUGUGUCCCCGGGAGACUGUCACACACACACAUUUAAAUUACUACGCUUGUGGGGACUUCACAAACUACAUUCAACACUCCCACCCCCCCCACCCCAAUCUUGACCUUAACCUUAACCUUUUACUAAUAAUAAGAAAAAUGCUACUAUAAACUGUAAAAUCAACCAACUAACGGAGUUCCCUCACCUUUCCAUACUUGUAAGGACACCUUCUUACCAUCUGUUUGUUUAUAGUCACAUCUUCAGUCAUACUGUCAAGCAGAGAUUGGAUAUUUAUGUUAAAAUAACUGCAUUAUCUAUUUCACUUAUAUUAAUUAAUAUGAUAAUUAUAAUUUCACAGAGCUGUAUUUGCAAUUACUAUAAUAACUGAAGAUGAACAGGGUUUGUUAGUGGACACAAAAAAGAGAUAAUGAAAGAAACCACACAUGUAAUGUGUCAGGUUGAAUAUCUUUACA